Myotis lucifugus (little brown bat) is the source of this 75-nucleotide non-coding RNA. Lineage: Eukaryota; Metazoa; Chordata; Mammalia; Chiroptera; Vespertilionidae. The record is from Rfam.
GGUCGUUCUUGGGUGUUGUACCCCAGAAUCGGGCUCCCUCCUCUCUGGUUCCGGGUGCGUCACCUGAGAACUGCA